Molecule: ribosomal RNA, 253 nt
Filed under: uncultured bacterium
Lineage: Bacteria
Description: partial 16S ribosomal RNA
Rfam family: Bacterial small subunit ribosomal RNA
Source: RNAcentral
UACAGAGGUCUCAAGCGUUGUUCGGAUUCAUUGGGCGUAAAGGGUGCGUAGGCGGCGCGGUAAGUCGGGUGUGAAAUCUCGGAGCAUAACUCCGAAACUGCAUUCGAUACUGCCGUGCUUGAGGACUGGAGAGGAGACUGGAAUUUACGGUGUAGCGGUGAAAUGCGUAGAUAUCGUAAGGAAGACCAGUGGCGAAGGCGGGUCUCUGGACAGUUCCUGACGCUGAGGCACGAAGGUCAGGGGAGCAAACGGG